CCUACGGGGGGCAGCAGUGGGGAAUAUUGCACAAUGGGGGAAACCCUGAUGCAGCGACGCCGCGUGAGUGAAGAAGUAUUUCGGUACGUAAAGCUCUAUCAGCAGGGAAGAAAAUGACGGUACCUGACCCAGAAUCCCCGGCUAACUACGUGCCAGCAGCCGCGGUAAUACGUAGGGGGCAAGCGUUAUCCGGAUUUACUGGGUGUAAAGGGGGCGUAGACGGCAGCGCAAGUCUGGAGUGAAAUGCCGGGGCCCAACCCCGGAACUGCUUUGGAAACUGUGCAGCUGGAGUGCAGGAGAGGUAAGCGGAAUUCGUAGUGUAGCGGUGAAAUGCGUAGAUAUUAGGAGGAACACCAGUGGCGAAGGCGGCUUACUGGACCGUAACUGACGUUGAGGCUCGAAAGCGUGGGGAGCAAACAGGAUUAGAUACCCGGGUAGUC
This 440-nucleotide ribosomal RNA is filed under the name uncultured bacterium. RNAcentral's name for it is "partial 16S ribosomal RNA". It matches the Rfam family "Bacterial small subunit ribosomal RNA", at positions 338 to 795 of the family's 1533-position model. The record is from RNAcentral.